CCUACGGGGCGCAGCAGUCGCGAAAACUUCGCAAUGGGGGCAACCCCGACGAGGGAAUUCCAAGUGCUAGCACUUUGUGUUAGCUGUUCUUCUGUCUAAAAAACAGGAGGAGUAAGGGGCGGGUAAGACGGGUGCCAGCCGCCGCGGUAAUACCCGCGCCCCAAGUGGUGGUCGAUAUUAUUGAGCCUAAAACGUCCGUAGCCGGUCUUCUAAAUCCUUGGGUAAAUCGGGCAGCUUAACUGUCCGAAGUCCGGGGAGACUGGGAGACUUGGGACCGGGAGAGGUCAGAGGUACUUCUGGGGUAGGGGUAAAAUCCUGUAAUCCUGGAAGGACCACCGGUGGCGAAGGCGUCUGACUAGAACGGAUCCGACGGUGAGGGACGAAGCCCUGGGGCGCAAACGGGAUUAGAUACCCCGGUAGUCCAGGGUGUAAACGCUGCGGGCUUGGUGUUGGGGGUCCCUAGUGGGCGCCCAGUGCCGGAGAGAAGUUGUUAAGCCUGCUGCUUGGGGAGUAUGUCCGCAAGGAUGAAACUUAAAGGAAUUGGCGGGGGAGCACCGCAACGGGAGGAGCGUGCGGUUCAAUUGGAUUCAACGCCGAAAAACUCACCAGGAGCGACGGAUAUA
This 623-nucleotide ribosomal RNA is filed under the name uncultured archaeon. RNAcentral describes it as "bacterial SSU rRNA". It matches the Rfam family "Archaeal small subunit ribosomal RNA", at positions 322 to 947 of the family's 1478-position model. The record is from RNAcentral.